AUUAUCUGUGUGAGAGAGAGUGGAGGGCAGGCCAAAUAAAGCCAUAGGUGCUGCUGGGAGAGGAGUGCGUGUUAGCAUGCUAUAAAUACUUGAUGCAUCUGGAGUUUCAGGGUUGGCUACUGUCUGGGUCUCAGCAGACCAGAUCACAGGCUCUAUGUUGAUCUAGUGAUUUAUAGAAUUAUUGAUUUAUUGGACUGGGACAGGGAUUGGACCAUCCUGGAGGUGACAGGCCAUCAUGCCUAGGAUAGACGUGGAUGUGAAGCUGGACUUUAAAGAUGUCCUGUUCAGACCCAAGAGAAGCAGCCUGAAGAGCAGGUCAGAGCAAACUCUCUUCACCGCCAUGCAGAAGCACUACACUGUGGAGCAGUGGAAGGCUUUUGCAGCCAAGUUUCCAGAAUGUUUGGAGCACAUAGCGGUCAGCUCAGGCAGCGGUCAAGCCGACCUGGAGAAGCUGUGCAGCGUCCUGAAGGCCGUCUCUGACAUCAGAUUCAUCUGUCUGGACGUGGCCAACGGCUACUCUGAACACUUUGUGGAGUUUGUCAAAACCGUCAGGGGGAGGUUUCCCCAACACACUAUCAUGGCUGGCAACGUGGUGACAGGAGAGAUGGUGGAGGAGCUGAUCCUGGCAGGAGCUGACAUCAUUAAAGUGGGUAUUGGGCCAGGUGGGUCUGUUACUCUGGUACACUGUUACUCUGUCUGUUACUCUGGUGCUCCGUCUGUUACUCUGUCGGUUACUCUGUCGGUUACUCUGCCUGUUACUCUCUGUUGCUCUGUUACCCUGUCUGUUGCUCUGUCUGUUACUCUAUGGUACCCUCUAUGUUACUCUGUUACUCUGUCUGUUACUCUGUUACUCUGUCUGUUACUCUCUGUUACUCUGUCAGCCACUCUGUCUGUUACUCUGUUACUGUCUGUUACUCUGGGACUUUGUCUGUUGCUCUCUGUUACCCGGUUAUUCUGUCAGUUGCUCUGUCUGUUACUUUGUCAGUUGCUCUGGGUGUUACUCUGCUACUUUGUUACUGUCUGUUACUCUAUUACUAUGUAUGUUACUCUCUGUUACUCUGUCAGUUACUCUGUCUGUUACUCUGUUACUCUGUCUGGUGCUCUAUUACUAUGUAUGUUACUCUCUGUUACUCUGUCAGUUACUCUGUCUGUUACUCUAUUACUAUGUAUGUUACUCUCUGUUACUCUGUCAGUUACUCUGUCUGUUACUCUGUUACUCUGUCGGUUACUCUCUUACUCUGUCUGGUACUCUGUUUGUUACUCUCUGUUACUCUGUCGGUUACUCUGUCGGUUACUCUCUUACUCUGCCUGUUACUCUGUUUGUUACUCUCUGUUACUCUGUCGGUUACUCUGUCGGUUACUCUCUUACUCUGUCUGUUACUCUGUUUGUUACUCUCUGUUACUCUGUCGGUUACUCUGUCGGUUACUCAGUUAUUCUGUCAGGUACUCUGUCUGUUACUCUGCUACUGUGUCUGUUACUCUGUUAAUCUGUCUGGUACUCUGUCUGUUACUCUGUUACUGUGUAUGUUACUCUGGUACUCCAUCGGUUACUCUCUGUUACUCUGUUGGUUACUCUGUCUGUUACUCUCUGCUACUCUGUUACACUGUUACUAUGUCUGGUACUCUAUCACUCCGUCUGUUACUCUCUGUUACUCUGCCGGUUACUCUGUCUGUUACUCUGUUACUCUGUCUGCUACUCUGGUACUCCGUCUGUUACUCUGUUACUCUGUCUGUUACUCUGGUACUCUGUUACUCUGUCUGUUACUCUGGUACUCCAUCGGUUACUCUGUCUGUUACUAUGUUACUCUGUUACUCUGUCUGUUGCUCCGGUACUCUGUUACUCUAUUACUCCGUCUGUUACUCUGUCGGUUAGUCUGUUACUCUGUCUGUUGCUCUGUUGGUUACUCUGUUACUCUGUUGGUUACUAUGUUACUCUGUAUGUUACUCUGUCACUCUGUAUGUUACUCUGUAUGUUACUCUGUCUGUUACUCUGUCUAUUACUCUGUUAUUCUGUCUGUUGAUCUGUCGGUUACUCUGUUACUCUGUCUGUUACUCUGUCUGUUACUCUGUUACUCUGUUACUAUGUAUGUUACUCAGUUGGUUACUCUGUUACUCUGUCUGUUACUCUGUCUGUUACUCUGUUACUCUGGUACUCUGGUACUCUGUCUGUUACUCAGUUGGUUACUCUGUCUGUUACUCUGUCUGUCACUCCGGUACUCUGUUACUCUGUCUGUUACUCUGUUACUCUGUCUGUUAUUCUGUUACUUUGUCUGUUACUCUGUUACUUUGUCUGUUACUCUGUUACUCUGUCAGUUACUCUGUCGGUUACUCUGUUACCAUGUCUGUUAUACGGUCUGUUAUAAGGUCUGUUACCCUGUCUGUUAUUCUGUUACUCUGUCUGAUACUCUGUCUGUUACUCCGUUACUCUGUCGGUUACUCUGUUGGUUACUCUGUCUGUUACUCUGUCUGUUACCCUGUCUGUUAUUCUGUCUAUUACCCUGUCUGUUGCACUGGCUGUUACCCUGCCUGUUACUCUGUCUGUUACUCUGUCUGUUGUUCUGUUACUUUAUAUGUUACUCUGUUACUCUGUCUGUUAAUCUGUCUGUUACUCUGAUACUCUGUUGGUUACUCCGUUGGUUACUCUGUCUGUUACUCUGUUACCCUGUCUGUUACCCUGUCUGUUACCCUGUCUGUUACCCUGUCUGUUACACUGUCUGUUACACGGUCUGUUACUCUGUCUGUUACUCUGUCUGUUACUCUGUUACCCUGUCUGUUAUACUGUUUGUUACACUGUCUGUUACACUGUCUGUUACACUGUCUGUUGCCCUGUCUGUUACUCUGUCUGUUACUCCGUCUGUUACUCUAGCACCCUCUUCCCUACAUAGUGCACUAUAAGUAGAGCACUAUAUGGAGUCAUGAGUUCACCAGGGCUCCCUUCAAGAGAGAAAAAUACUUCAGCUGAGUGCAUUCAGCUCCUGACAAACUGACACGUCAUGAUUCCCCUCUAGGUUCUGUGUGUACGACGCGUAUUAAGACGGGAGUGGGAUACCCCCAGCUCAGUGCUGUCAUAGAGUGUGCAGACUCCGCCCACGGCCUGAAGGGUCACAUCAUCUCAGAUGGCGGAUGCAGCUGUCCUGGCGAUGUGGCUAAGGCAUUUGGCGCUGGAGCUGAUUUUGUGAUGCUGGGGGGCAUGCUGGCUGGCCACGACCAGUGUGCCGGGGAGGUCAUUGAGAGGAAUGGCAGAAAGGUCAAGCUGUUCUAUGGGAUGAGCUCUGACACGGCCAUGAAGAAACAUGUAGGGGGAGUGGCAGAGUACAGAGCGUCAGAGGGCAGGACGGUGGAGGUACCGUACAGGGGGGAUGUAGAGGCCACCAUCAGGGACAUUCUGGGUGGUCUGCGCUCCACCUGCACCUACGUAGGAGCUGCCAAACUGAAGGAGCUCAGUCGCAGGACCACCUUUAUCAGAGUCACACAGCAGGCCAGCCACAUGUUCACAUAGUAGUAAAUAGACGGAGGGACGGACAGACAGACAGCCAUGAUCUUUCUUGUGGCUGUUUAGAACUUCACAUCCUAAUGCCUGAUUUCAAUUGUGCUGAUUUAAUUUAAAAUGUAAAAGUUUGAAUCUACAACAAUAUUUAUGUAAAUGCAUGUGUUACUUUCCCUGUACACAGUAGACAGAAAGAGGAGAAACAGAGAAAUACCAACCUGGACUCAGGGGUAGACAUAGUAAACUUAUAUCCGUGACACUCCAAUUAGUAUGAUAUGUAACGUUUGGCAUGGUUUUCAUUUGUGGAUGUCCAUCUUUCAUUUCGUCGGAUAUGUUACGAAUUACAAUAUGUUACGAAUUUGCAAAGGUAUGAUAUGUUAUGAAUUCUAAUUUGUUGAGGCUAAGGUUAUCUAGGUGUCUAGGUGGCUAACGCUAAUGUUAGCUAGGUGGCUAAUGUUAACCAGGUUAGGGGUUAAGGUUAGGAGUUAGGUUAGGGUAUGGGUUAGCUAAUAUGCUAAGUAGUUGCAAAAAAUUGGUAAGUAGUUUCAAAGUUGCUAAUUAGCUAAAAUGAUAAAAUUGUCUGUGAUGUUAUUCAAACUCACAGCCUUUGGGUUGCUUGAUGUUCAUGUUUUACACCUACCCAUCCACCCUGUCCAAACAUCCUACUUUUGUUUUUUGCCUUAAGUAACCUUCUGUCUUAUGUAACCAAAUGUAACAUAUCAUACUAAAUUGAAUCUUUCAGAAUUUGGAUUUACAUUUACUAUGUUACGUGUAGUCUAUGAGACCAGGCUGGAAAAACAGAGUGCUAGAGUAAGCAGCUGCUCUGUUGCUCCUCUUGAAAGAUGGAUGAAAGACAGAUGAGCCAGUUGAUAGACAGAAUUUCAGUUGACUCUGUUAUUUAUUAUUCUGAGUAUACAGAGACAAUACAUUUGUUCAUGUUCUUUUGUGUUUCUUUAAACAAAUUUGUUCAAAUCUAAAUGAAAUGUUAAAAAAAAUUACAACUGAAAUAUUUUGUCCAUAAACCUGGAAAAACUCUCCUAAGAAAGAGACCAUAGAUCAUACAGAACAGAUUGGAGUAUAUCCUACAAAUUAAACCGUAAUACCACAGUUAGAAAAGCAACUUUGAAGUCUUCUAGUCCUCUUGUUUCCUGUCUCCUGUUGUACAUAAAUGUAUCUUACAUAUGAGGUACACAAAAAAGUUAUUUCACAACCUUUCUUGGGGGUUGCGGACCAAUGCAUGAACAUUUUUUAAAUUACAGAUUGUACAAUAAUAACAAUGAUCCUAUUUUGUAUAAUAUCUACAACAAUGUUUAUAUUUUAGCACAUACAUAUCUCAGGAAAAAACAGUCAAUGGGCGGUGUCUGUUUCUCUGCCAGUUCACCUGAUUAUUGGCAAGAUGCAAACAACAGUCUAAUAAUCUCUAUUCAUUCUAUUCUCUGUCUCUCUCUCUCCCUCCUCUCUCUCCCUCCUCUCUCUCUCUCCUCUCAAUGAAUUUGAAAAUAUCCAAUUGCUUUCUUUGAUGAUAAACAGUUUUAUGAUAAUCACACACACACACACACACACACACACACACACACACAAUUCCUGAGUUCUGUAAAAUACUUUAUUUUGGCUAUAAGAAAAUAUAUAUAAUUUUAAACUGAAAGAAAAGAGAGACACCUGUGAGAAUUCAGUCUAAAGUAAGACAGGUACACAUGAGUGGGUAGUGAGGCCAGGUAGUUACAGAAUGUAGAGUAAUGUCCACAUUCAUGUGCACAGGUUCAUCUACUGCUGAACCUAUGGCACUGGUCCAUAAUCACUGAUGAUCUUGACUCUAGCUUUUUCACUUGACAGUACCAUGAUUACUCUGAUUUGCCUGAAUUAAAAGUAUGAAAAUAUACAUUUUAAUGAUUCAUGUCACGUGAAGAUACAAUGUAUUCUCAGGUGACAUAUUGCAAGUUGAGGUUUGAGUUUUACAUGGGAUGUCAUUCAUACAAAUAACUGAUGAAAGUGAAUCAGAGACAUUUUAGAGGGUCAUCGGUCUGUAAUGAUUUAACAUGGAAAAACACCAAUCUAUAAUUCAGGUAUUGCACAUACAACACAUACAACCCAAUUACAACUAAGUUAAUUGGACAGGUUCACUAUAGCUGUAGUUCAAUGUCAGUGGCUCUCCCUCCACCACUUUACAGUGUAAAACAUUGUAAAACAACGUCCAGAAGAACCACUGUAAAACGUUGUAUAACGUCCAGAAGAACCACUGUAAAACGUUGUAUAACGUCCAGAAGAACCACUGUAAAAUGUUGUAUAACGUCCAGAAGAACCACUGUAAAACGUUGUAUAACAUCCAGAAGAACCACUGUAAAACGUUGUAUAACGUCCAGAAGAACCACUGUAAAACGUUGUAUAACGUCCAGAAGAACCACUGUAAAACGUUGUAUAACAUCCAGAAGAACCACUGUAAAACGUUGUAUAACGUCCAGAAGAACCACUGUAAAACGUAGUAUAACGUCCAGAAGAACCACAGAAAGCCCCCGAUAAAAGGUGAAGUAGAACUCACUGCAGGAGAAGCUAUCAUGUAACUUACUACAGUAUGAAGCUAUCAGGUAACUUACUACAGUAUGAAGCUAUCAGGUAUGUAGCUGUCAGGUAGGUUACAACACUAUGAAGCUAUCAGGUAACUUACUACAGUAUGAAGCUAUCAUGUUUGACGCUAUUGGGUAACUUACUACAGUAUGAAGCUAUCAGGUAACUUACUACAGUAUGAAGCUGUCAGGUAACUUACUACAGUAUGAAGCUAUCAGGUAACUUACUACAGUAUGAAGCUAUCAGGUAACUUACAACAGUAUGAAGCUAUCAGAUAACUUACUACAGUAUGAAGCUAUCGGGUAACUUACUACAGUAUGAAGCUAUCGGGUAACUUACAACAGUAUGAAGCUAUCAGGUAACUUACAACAGUAUGAGGGCUAUCAGGUAACUUACUGCAGUAUGAAGCUAUCAGGUAUGAAGAUAUCAGGUAACUUACUACAGUAUGAAGCUAUCAGGUAACUUACUACAGUAUGAAGCUAGCAUGUAACUUACAACAGUAUAUCUAAAACAAGAAGGGAAUGAAGACAUUAAAUCACAAAGAAUGCGUCCCAAACGGCACCCUCUUAGCUUUAUAGUGCACUACAACUGACCAGAGCCCAAAGUUAGGGCACUAUAUAGGAAAUGGGUGCCAUUUGGGACACAACCUGGCUAUCAAAGAUACUACUAACCCUGUCCUGUAGACAUUGGUUGAUGUUCAAAUCAAUAUGAUUACUCUUUAAAUUCACUUUGUGGAAUAUGGCCAAUAACAAAAUUAUACGCACCCAUAUUUCUGUAAACCGAAAUGAUUGAAACAUACAAUGCCUUCGGAAAGUGUUCAGACCCCUUGACUUUUUCCACAUUUUGUUACGUUACAGCCUUAUUCUAAAAUGUAUUCAAUAGUUUUUUCCCCCUCAUCAAUCUACACACAACACGCC
This 6966-nucleotide long non-coding RNA is filed under the name Salmo salar (Atlantic salmon). Its description in RNAcentral is "lncRNA (ENSSSAG00000082672.1)". Lineage: Eukaryota; Metazoa; Chordata; Actinopteri; Salmoniformes; Salmonidae. The record is from RNAcentral.